This is a small nucleolar RNA of Equus asinus (donkey), 70 nucleotides long. The record is from Ensembl. NCBI's taxonomy places the organism in Eukaryota, Metazoa, Chordata, Mammalia, Perissodactyla, Equidae.
GAGCAAUGGUGAAAAAAGGUUUUACUACUGGCCUUUAUAACUAUGAAAGUUUCGACACGAGCUGAGCUCA